UGAGCUGAGAUCACACCACUGCACUCCAGCCUGGGCGACACGGCGAGACUCUAUGUCAAAAGAAAAGAAAAGAAAAGAAAAGAAAAGAAAAGGACAAGCAAUUCUUCAAUCUUGGGAUAAAUGAAGACAUUGAUUGGAGUGUCAUAAAACUAAGAUGUGAGAAUUUUUGAAUUAGAAUUUUAAUUUUAAUACCUACUUUCAAGAGGAGGUAAGAACCAAAAGUUUUAAAGGGAAAAGACUGAAGAUGAGCAUGUUUCUUUGAAUUAUAAAACUUGGGUUUAAUACCACUAGACUCUAAAUUUCCAACCCUAGUAAUAUGGAAUAUGCUGUUGGAACUCAACGUGGUCGUUUGCUUAACUUUUUGUUGAUAUAAUCUGAAAUGAUAUUAAAUCUCACUGUGGAGCAUCAUAAAAACAACCUAUUUGUCAGAGAAGAGUAGGACAAUUGUCCUAUUAAAUUGGAAAACUGAAAAAGAAAAUUUAAAAACAGACUUCCAUUAUUGCAUUCAUAUGACAAAUACUUUUUGAGUGUCUGUGUCACUGGGCACUGUACUACCUUGUAACUACCUAGGCAGUCGGGGUAGGGAAUCCUCCUUGGGGAAGUACCCUUUGUAAGGCCAGGCACAGAGAAAAAGGAGGGUAAAGAGUGUGCUAGGUAAUAGGUAGAGGACAUGUACAAAUAGAUGGCUACUGAUUUUCAGUUGAUAACUAUGUCUAAUUAGGUGAAUACCAUCUUAUUCUAGCAAGAGUAUCAGAGUGCGUUCAUUCCUGAGGACCCUUUCCCUGGUGUUGAAACAAAUUAUCUCUAGCCUUCAGUACGAAAUAAAUUCCCUUUUGCUACAUUUCUGCCAAAUCUGAAGAAUCACAAUGGAUGAGUCUCAUGCCUAUUUCAAAAUGGUAUAGAGUCUCUGGGGGUUCAGUAUAUUUAACUUGUUUCCUCAUAAGUGUGACUUCAAGAUAUUGUUUCAUGCUGGAAUUGUAAAUUGUGAUUUAUCCAUUCUCUGUAGAAAUAUUAAAUAAAUCUGAAAAAACUCCAAAA
RNAcentral lists this long non-coding RNA (1038 nucleotides) under Homo sapiens (human). RNAcentral's name for it is "non-protein coding lnc-SLC30A9-1:2". The record is from RNAcentral. Lineage: Eukaryota; Metazoa; Chordata; Mammalia; Primates; Hominidae.